RNAcentral lists this ribosomal RNA (253 nucleotides) under uncultured bacterium. RNAcentral describes it as "partial 16S ribosomal RNA". It matches the Rfam family "Bacterial small subunit ribosomal RNA", at positions 524 to 776 of the family's 1533-position model. The record is from RNAcentral.
UACGGAGGGUGCGAGCGUUGUCCGGAAUCACUGGGCGUAAAGGGCGCGUAGGCGGCCUGAUAAGUAGGGGGUGAAAUCCUGCGGCUUAACCGCAGGGCUGCCUUCUAAACUGUCAGGCUAGAGCACGGUAGAGGCAGACGGAAUUCCCGGUGUAGCGGUGGAAUGCGUAGAGAUCGGGAAGAACAUCAGUGGCGAAGGCGGUCUGCUGGGCCGUUGCUGACGCUGAGGCGCGACAGCGUGGGGAGCAAACAGG